RNAcentral lists this signal recognition particle RNA (300 nucleotides) under Aotus nancymaae (Ma's night monkey). RNAcentral describes it as "Metazoan signal recognition particle RNA (ENSANAG00000009606.1)". It matches the Rfam family "Metazoan signal recognition particle RNA". Rfam says of the family: The signal recognition particle (SRP) is a universally conserved ribonucleoprotein. The record is from RNAcentral. Lineage: Eukaryota; Metazoa; Chordata; Mammalia; Primates; Aotidae.
GCCAGGCGCGGUGACCCAUGCCUGUAGUCCCAGCUACUCAGGAGGUUGAGGUGGGAGGAUCGCUUGAGCCCGGGAGUUCUAGGCUGUAAUGCACUAUGCCGAUCGGGUGUCCGCACUAAGUUCAGCAUCAAUAUGGUGACCUCCUGGGAGCAGGGACCACCAAGUUGCCUAAUGGGAGGAGUGAACCUGCCCAGGUUGGAAACGGAGCAGGUCAAAACUCCUGUGCUAAUCAGUAGUGAGAUUAUGCCUGUGAAUAGCCACUGCACUCCAGCCUGGGCAACAUAGCAAGACCUCAUCUCU